This 329-nucleotide unclassified non-coding RNA is filed under the name soil metagenome. RNAcentral describes it as "partial contains 5.8S ribosomal RNA, internal transcribed spacer 2, and large subunit ribosomal RNA". The stretch from base 1 to 120 matches the Rfam family "5.8S ribosomal RNA", at positions 35 to 154 of the family's 154-position model. The record is from RNAcentral.
GAUGAAGAACUUAGCGAAAUGCGAUAAGUAAUGUGAAUUGCAGAAUUCAGUGAAUCAUCGAAUCUUUGAACGCACAUUGCGCCCCCUGGUAUUCCGGGGGGCAUGCCUGUCCGAGCGUCAUUACAACCCUCAAGCUCAGCUUGGUAUUGGGCCCCGCCGCUCCGGCGGGCCCUAAAGUCAGUGGCGGUGCCGUCCGGCUCCGAGCGUAGUAAUUCUUCUCGCUCUGGAGGUCCGGUCGUGUGCUCGCCAGCAACCCCCAAUUUUUUUCAGGUUGACCUCGGAUCAGGUAGGGAUACCCGCUGAACUUAAGCAUAUCAAUAAGCGGAGGA